GCCUUAGCUAUGGCCCCUUGAACAAACCCGAUCCCGUCUGAUCUCAGAAGCUAAGCAAGUUGGCUAAAGAAGUUGGGCCUGAUUAGUACUUGAUGGGAGACCACCUAGAAAGACCAGGUGUUGUAGGCG
This 129-nucleotide ribosomal RNA is filed under the name Pteropus alecto (black flying fox). The record is from RNAcentral. Lineage: Eukaryota; Metazoa; Chordata; Mammalia; Chiroptera; Pteropodidae.